CAAAGUUUUAAUUUGAUGUAAAAUGAAUAGAAGUCAAUUACUGUAUAUAGUGACUAUUAAGUCUAAUAUAUAUACCCUAGUAAGCUAUAGUACUUUUUCCUUUGGGAAGGUACCAUCUGUGCAGUCUGCAAUUUUGUUGAAGAAAGAUGUUGAAUCUAUUUAAUAUUUCUUGAAAAAUAAUUGAUUUCUGUGCAUUUUUUUUCCACACUGCAUCAAAUUAAGGUUGAUUACGUUGAUUAAGCAUCAUGAGGUGGAGUGUGAGGGGUGGUUCCCUAUUUUUUAUUUAUUUAUUUUUGUUGUUGCUGGGAGUUGGAACCCUAUUAGUUAGGUUGCUUAAUAUUUAUGCUAAGUACUCUUUAAAAUACCAGAAUAGGGAGGAUGGUGUAGGUUUAAGUUUAUUAGAUUGAUCAGUAUUGCUGAACUAUGAAAUAUUUUUUUUUUGCAUACAGGUAUAACAGAAUAGCUUUAGUGUAGUUGUUGUUUUAAACUUGAGUAUGAACUUAUACAAAAUGCAGCAAGAUAUUUAAAAAACAGUUUUGUUGAUUAAAAAACACUAUAUCGGAUUCAUAUCGGUAUCGGCAGAUAUCCAAAUUUAUGAUAUCGGUAUCGUAUCGGACAUAAAAAAGUGGUAUCGUGCCAUCUCUAGUAUGUAUGUGCAUCCAUCAGGAGCGUGCUUCAGCAUCAUCCGUGGGCGCUGCCUCUCCCCUGGUAUUCCCUGGUAUUCCCCUGGUAGGCCCGGUAUUCACCCGGUAUGCCCAUGUAUCCUUAGCUUGGUUCCCCCUAGCUGGCCCUUUGCUCUCCACUUGGUUGGU
Astatotilapia calliptera (eastern happy) is the source of this 812-nucleotide long non-coding RNA. NCBI's taxonomy places the organism in Eukaryota, Metazoa, Chordata, Actinopteri, Cichliformes, Cichlidae. The record is from Ensembl.